GAUCAUUACCGAGUGAGGGCCCUCUGGGUCCAACCUCCCACCCGUGUCUAUCGUACCUUGUUGCUUCGGCGGGCCCGCCGUUUCGACGGCCGCCGGGGAGGCCUUGCGCCCCCGGGCCCGCGCCCGCCGAAGACCCCAACAUGAACGCUGUUCUGAAAGUAUGCAGUCUGAGUUGAUUAUCGUAAUCAGUUAAAACUUUCAACAACGGAUCUCUUGGUUCCGGCAUCGAUGAAGAACGCAGCGAAAUGCGAUAAGUAAUGUGAAUUGCAGAAUUCAGUGAAUCAUCGAGUCUUUGAACGCACAUUGCGCCCCCUGGUAUUCCGGGGGGCAUGCCUGUCCGAGCGUCAUUGCUGCCCUCAAGCACGGCUUGUGUGUUGGGCCCCCGUCCCCCUCUCCCGGGGGACGGGCCCGAAAGGCAGCGGCGGCACCGCGUCCGGUCCUCGAGCGUAUGGGGCUUUGUCACCUGCUCUGUAGGCCCGGCCGGCGCCAGCCGACACCCAACUUUAUUUUUCUAAGGUUGACCUCGGAUCAGGUAGG
Molecule: unclassified non-coding RNA, 537 nt
Filed under: Aspergillus fumigatus
Lineage: Eukaryota; Fungi; Ascomycota; Eurotiomycetes; Eurotiales; Aspergillaceae
Description: sequence contains 18S rRNA gene, ITS1, 5.8S rRNA gene, ITS2, 28S rRNA gene
Rfam family: 5.8S ribosomal RNA (bases 194-347)
Source: RNAcentral